This 1049-nucleotide long non-coding RNA is filed under the name Rosa chinensis. Its description in RNAcentral is "sRNA RchiOBHm_Chr2g0142171". The record is from RNAcentral. Lineage: Eukaryota; Viridiplantae; Streptophyta; Magnoliopsida; Rosales; Rosaceae.
UCUGGUAACACAUUCUGCGAAACCUCUCUUCCGUUAAUAGGUUGAGUUCCAAUUUAACUGUAAUGGAGUUAUUAAUGGUCAGUUCUUUUGAUUGUUUUUCUUCAAUUUCGUACUUGGAGGAAACGGUGGAAAUUCAAAUGUGAAGGGGAGCUUUUGGUCUUGAUUUCUAUUGAGUUUUUAAAGGGAUGAUGAGGAACUUAGGAGGACUGCAGGAAGCACUAGGUCAUUGAGACUAUGGUCUCGGCAGAACUGGUACAAGGUAGGUUCUCCACAAAAGGGAAUCAUUUUCGCUGACAAGUAUUUGCCAAUAUAGGUUGAGUGAUUGGCAUCCUCAGUUCAUUGCUUCAUUGACAUGUAGCUACGUUACUUGAGCAAACCAAUUUGGGUAAGCUUCUCAUCCAUUCGAGUCAGCACAACAGUAGAUAGAUAAAUCACAGAGUGAAAGACAGAGGUCAAGGUGCGACCUACAGUGAGGCAACAAGUGUAUGGCAUUGAAAGACAGUGAGGUCAUAUCACUAAUAUGUAAGACGCUACCACAUUAGCGUGUUUGUGGACACAUUUGGAAGAACAAUUGUUGGAUGGAAUUGUCGGAAUGGUCCAGUAUUGGAACACGAAGAAUAGGCUCGUUGAAAAUAGUUUUAUAUAUGCACAGGAGACCACAUGACUUAACCAAGUGAAGUCUUCAAAGUAUACAGUAGUACCCUGAAUUUCUAUAAGAUCCCUGUAAUGCUGUCAACAAUUUCAGCUGUCAACAAUUUGUUAUGUGUUUGACUCUAAACAAAACCCCAAACUACAAAUUUCUGUUGUGUUUUAGUUGUGUUAUUGUUGUGUUACUCUGAUUGUAAAGAAUUGCUCUUGGGGCUUCACAUAUGAUAAUCGCCAUAAUUCUGUCUUAAUUCUAGGUUUGCCAUGUUGUGGUGCACAAUCAUGUGAUGUAUAUUCUGGGUUAAAUAUUGACAAUUGGAUGGUGCUACAGAUCAACAUGACAAUGUAUGUACAAGCUCUAUAGGAAGAUUGAGAAAUUUGUGUUUUUGUUUGUCUCAUAAAUC